UCCGUCAUCCAUAAUAAAUAAUAAGCGUUACAUAAAUGUCGUUUACUAAUCUCGCAGACGUAAAGAAAUUAUAUAUCUUUGGUCCCCUACCUCAAGUGAAAACGUGUUGUUUUUGUGUUAAUUUAAAAAUUGGUUGUGUUGCUAUAGGAGUAAUUUAUUUACUUUUCAUCGUUGAGACAUUCACAGGCGGUGCAGCAAAUAGGGAAUUUACGAAAUGUUUCUUCAUAGGCCCCGUACUAGAAAUUUUAGGCUGGACUGCAGGCGCAAUGUGUUUGAUAACGUUAAUAUCAACGCUCCUUUUUCUAUACGGAAUUGCUCAGACAAAACCUACCACAUAUUUAAUUUUCAUGUAUACUACAGUAAUGUUGAUCCUAUUUAAUAUGGUCACAAGCUGCUUAAUGUUAUUUGUAGUCACAAAGGAAUGCACAAGGCCAUACCUUUUCGGGGGAGCAAAUUUUGCUGGAGCCCUAUUUCUUGUUUAUUUCCUGGUGGUAGUCAACAGUUUCUAUCGGGAUGAAAUGACCGCUAAUACCAACAACACCGGUAGUAGCAACAACAACAACGCUAACAGCAGCAAAAACAACAAAAACGACAGUGACAACGACAGUAAAAACGACAGCGACAGUAAAAAACACUAUAACACACCCAACAUCUCGAACAUCAGCCACAAUGUCAACAGAACCGACAACAACAACGACGACAGCGACAGAAACAAACCCAGCGACCAAAAAACCGACAAAACCGACAUUGUUAAUGACAAAUAUAUCUAAAGUAUGAGAUGCUUGGAUAACAUCAGUGGUUUCAUCACUCUGCAAUUGUACAAUUUACUAGGUUUUUUUAUACACGCGUUUUAU
This is an RNA transcript of Helicoverpa armigera (cotton bollworm), 854 nucleotides long. RefSeq lists it as uncharacterized. The record is from RefSeq and is a predicted model, not a curated record. The transcript is spliced from 4 exons. NCBI's taxonomy places the organism in Eukaryota, Metazoa, Arthropoda, Insecta, Lepidoptera, Noctuidae.